CGUGUAGGCGGCUCGUUAAGUCUCCGGUGAAAUCUCCCGGCUCAACUGGGAGGGUGCUUGAGAUACUGGCGGGCUUGAGGGCAGCAGAGGGGAGUGGAAUUCCCGGUGUAGUGGUGAUAUGCGUAGAUAUCGGGAGGAACACCAGUGGCGAAGGCGGCUCCCUGGGCUGUUCCUGACGCUGAGGCGCGAAAGCGUGGGGAGCAAACAGGAUUAGAUACCCUGGUAGUCC
This 229-nucleotide ribosomal RNA is filed under the name uncultured bacterium. Its description in RNAcentral is "partial 16S ribosomal RNA". It matches the Rfam family "Bacterial small subunit ribosomal RNA", at positions 568 to 796 of the family's 1533-position model. The record is from RNAcentral.